AGCGAACGCUGGCGGCAGGCCUAACACAUGCAAGUCGAACGCCCCUUCGGGGGAGUGGCGGACGGGUGAGUACCGCGUGGGAAUGUGCCCUUUGGUACGGAACAACUGAGGGAAACUUCAGCUAAUACCGUAUGUGCCCUACGGGGGAAAGAUUUAUCGCCAUUGGAGCAGCCCGCGUUGGAUUAGGUAGUUGGUGGGGUAAUGGCCCACCAAGCCGACGAUCCAUAGCUGGUCUGAGAGGAUGAUCAGCCACACUGGGACUGAGACACGGCCCAGACUCCUACGGGAGGCAGCAGUGGGGAAUCUUGCGCAAUGGGCGAAAGCCUGACGCAGCCAUGCCGCAUGAAUGAUGAAGGUCUUAGGAUUGUAAAAUUCUUUCACCGGGGAAGAUAAUGACGGUACCCGGAGAAGAAGCCCCGGCUAACUUCGUG
RNAcentral lists this ribosomal RNA (431 nucleotides) under uncultured bacterium. RNAcentral describes it as "partial 16S ribosomal RNA". It matches the Rfam family "Bacterial small subunit ribosomal RNA", at positions 29 to 507 of the family's 1533-position model. The record is from RNAcentral.